Long non-coding RNA from Nerophis ophidion (straightnose pipefish), 1661 nucleotides. RefSeq lists it as uncharacterized. The transcript has 4 exons. NCBI's taxonomy places the organism in Eukaryota, Metazoa, Chordata, Actinopteri, Syngnathiformes, Syngnathidae. The record is from RefSeq and is a predicted model, not a curated record.
CUGCCAUCCGGGAGGAACUCAAAGUAAAGCCGCUGCUCCUCCACAUCGAGAGGAGCCAGAUGAGGUGGUUCGGGCAUCUGGUCAGGAUGCCACCCGAACGCCUCCCUAGGGAGGUGUUUAGGGCACGUCCAACCGGUAGGAGGCCACGGGGAAGACCCAGGACACGUUGGGAAGACUAUGUCUCCCGGCUGGCCUGGGAACGCCUCGGGAUCCCCCGGGAAGAGCUAGACGAAGUGGCUGGGGAGAGGGAAGUCUGGGUUUCCCUGCUUAGGCUGUUGCCCCCGCGACCCGACCUCGGAUAAGCGAAAGAAGAUGGAUGGAUGGAUGGAUAGGCUCUCUCAGCCAAAAAGGUUCCCGACCCCUGCUUUAACCUUUGUUCUACUCAUUAGCUCUUGGUUUUACGUGUUCACAUCCAGCAAGGAGGUAUGCCAAUUCCCUGUGAGGUUAAAACAAUUCCCUUUUUCUAUCCAAAUCCUUCUUCUCUUCUGUUCAUCAUUCCACUCUCGCUCUUUUCCUCACACUCUUGCUUCUAGUGUUUUGCAUCUCCCCUCUCACUCCUGCUUCCCUUCUUUCAUAUUCCUGCUCUUGUCCCCACUACCAAACUCGUCACUUAAGAAAGAUGCACCUACCUUUAUCCAUGUUGGAGAGCGUCAGGUUGUUGAGGCUGUCGAACUGGAAAUGCAAAGCAAAAUUGUUUUCAGAGUUCACCACUGAAAUGAACCUAGAUCCGAAAAAUAGGUGUGUUGUAACAAUACCUCGCCCAUGACACCAAUGGGCGUCUCCCCGGUCGCUUGGGCCACGCGGUGCUCCACCAGGUAGAACAUGUACUCGUCGUAGAGCAGGCGGAUCAGGUGAAAAGAACCGAAGCUGGCAGCACUGCGCAGGGUCAGGUCCCGGAUCACCAUAGAGCUAAAGACAAGUUCACAUGGUGCCCUCUACAGAGUCGGGCGGAGUGUAACGCCAGAAUGUUUGCCAGAGCUUCUCGAUGAGACUAAACUGGAGGUUGACCACCACGUCCAGGAUGGCCUGAGACAAGUGGAGAGACACAAAGAUGAUUGGAAAUGCAACAAGAUCCUGCUGGCAGGUGGCACGCCGCUAUUCCUGCCCCGGCAGACAACAGGUCUUAGGCGGUCUCGCUGCGACCUGAGGAGGUGCACCUGUACUCCCUGUCACCUGCUCUUCCUUCCCCUGAUGGGAAAUAGGAGGUAGCAGCUGCACAAUACACCCACAAAAUCAUUGUGAUGCAACAAUAGGCCAACAAGACCGAUCAAGGGAAUAUUGAAGAUGCAAGGACAGAAUAUCAACCCUUAAAAACAUUCAAAAAUGUACCCCAAAUUGAAAAAAAAAUGCUAUAAAAACAUUUUUUUUAGCACUUCCCAUGAUUCCAUCUCUUAAGACCACUUAUCAACGAUGAUAUUUUGUUCUUCCAAACAGUUUUUAAUUAACAGCACUCUAGCUCUGCCCACUCCCUAAAAAAUACAUUUGAAACUUUUAGCGUAUUAUUAGGCUCUGGGAUUGAUGGAUUGACAUAAAUAUAGAUUUUCAGACAUUUAUUUUUUUCUACAGUUUUAGUCUGCCUAAAAACUGCUGUAAACAUGUUAUGUUUUCCCACACUUUAAUGAGUCUAUCUUUUAAAACUAUUUUUGUCUGCCUGAAAUAUA